This 522-nucleotide ribosomal RNA is filed under the name uncultured Chloroflexota bacterium. RNAcentral describes it as "bacterial SSU rRNA". It matches the Rfam family "Bacterial small subunit ribosomal RNA", at positions 355 to 889 of the family's 1533-position model. Lineage: Bacteria; Bacillati; Chloroflexota. The record is from RNAcentral.
UAAGGAAUAUUGCGCAAUGGGCGAAAGCCUGACGCAGCAACGCCGCGUGCCCGAUGAAGGCCUUCGGGUUGUAAAGGGCUUUUAAGAGCGAGGAGGAAGGACAGUAGCUCUUGAAUAAGUGUCGGCUAACUACGUGCCAGCAGCCGCGGUAAAAACGUAGGACACGAGCGUUAUCCGGAUUUACUGGGCGUAAAGGGCUGGCAGGCGGCUUCGCAAGUUGGACGUGAAAGCUCUCGGCUUAACCGGGAGAGGCCGUUCGAGACUGCGAGGCUAGAGGGCAGUAGAGGGGCGUGGAAUUCCGGGUGGAGUGGUGAAAUGCGUAGAGAUCCGGAGGAACCUCAGAGGCGAAAGCGGCGCUCUGGGCUGGCAUCUGACGCUGAACAGCGAAAGCUAGGGUAGCGAACGGGAUUAGAAACCCCGGUAGUCCUAGCGGUAAACGAUGAUAACUGGGUAUGGGGGAGAAAAAGACCUCCGUGCCGGAGCAAAACGCGGUAAAGUUAUCCGCCUGGGGAGUACGACCGC